GCUCGGGUGGCGGAAUUGGUAGACGCAAGGGACUUAAAAUCCCUCGAGAUAAUAUCUCGUACGAGUUCGAUUCUCGUCCCGAGUACCA
RNAcentral lists this transfer RNA (88 nucleotides) under Desulfuromusa sp. Its description in RNAcentral is "tRNA-Leu". It matches the Rfam family "tRNA". From Rfam's summary of the family: Transfer RNA (tRNA) molecules are approximately 80 nucleotides in length. Lineage: Bacteria; Pseudomonadati; Thermodesulfobacteriota; Desulfuromonadia; Desulfuromonadales; Geopsychrobacteraceae. The record is from RNAcentral. RNAcentral also lists the same sequence under 1 other name.